RNAcentral lists this ribosomal RNA (301 nucleotides) under uncultured bacterium. RNAcentral describes it as "partial 16S ribosomal RNA". It matches the Rfam family "Bacterial small subunit ribosomal RNA", at positions 509 to 808 of the family's 1533-position model. The record is from RNAcentral.
CAGUCGCCCGGGAAUACAGAGGGUGCGAGCGUUAAUCGGAUUUACUGGGCGUAAAGCGCGCGUAGGUGGUUUGGUAAGAUGGAUGUGAAAUCCCCGGGCUCAACCUGGGAACUGCAUCCAUAACUGCCUGACUAGAGUACGGUAGAGGGUGGUGGAAUUUCCUGUGUAGCGGUGAAAUGCGUAGAUAUAGGAAGGAACACCAGUGGCGAAGGCGACCACCUGGACUGAUACUGACACUGAGGUGCGAAAGCGUGGGGAGCAAACAGGAUUAGAUACCCGCGUAGUCCCUGUCUCUUAUACC